Molecule: long non-coding RNA, 524 nt
Organism: Patella vulgata (common limpet)
Lineage: Eukaryota; Metazoa; Mollusca; Gastropoda; Patellidae
Exons: 4
Source: RefSeq, a predicted model, not a curated record
CCUAGAGGUUUUUCUUAGAGUUACCCCCCUUGUCUUGGUUAUUUUUCGAGGGCGCUAAAAGUGACCAAGAAGAGCCGAAGAUAGAGAAACGUGACACGAAUUUGUACAAUUAAGGUGUUCAUACAACUUGAAAAACAACAUGUCUGGAAGAGAAGGUGGAAAGAAAAAACCUUUAAAAGCACCCAAGAAACAGAAGGCAGAUGACGAUGAAGAUGCCGUAGCCUUUAAACAAAAACAGAGAGAAGAACAGAAAGCAUUAAAAGACAUGGCUGACAAAGCAAAAAAAGGACCAUUAGGUACAGGAGGUAUAAAGAAAUCUGGAAAGAAAUGACGAAAAAGUCUUAUAAAUUAUUACAUCAUCUCCAAUCGACUUUUAUUAUGUCAUUCUACAUCAGAACACUCAUCUUCUAUUUGUCAUGGUGAAAGUGAAAUGUGAAAAGACGUUCUAGACAAUUUUACAAUAUUAAUAUUACAGUUCAUUGCAUUUUAUUCUUUAAAAUAAAAAAUUAAAAAAAAACCCCAAA